UUUUUUUUAGUUUAACGUGGGUGUCCGGGCUAGCUUGCGCGCACCUCGACUAAUCCCACAGGCUCUGAAGUUAACGACCAUGUAAGCCUCCAGUGGUCAUCAUAUGAGCAACCACAGGGCUCGAACCUGAGACCACAAAGGGAGCAAACCUCUUGGUCCCAAACUCUUACCACUGGGCCACCACCUAGAUUGUUCACUUGUGGAUUUUUGACUAGAUCACCACUAGACUCUGAUCCCACAUAUUUGUUUUUUCAAGUCUUGUAUUAGAAUUCUUGGCUUAUUGGUAUAUCCUUUAUAUGCAAGCAUGUAUAUUCUAUUGUCUUUGGUAAAAAAGAAUUUUGUACCUCCACC
This 351-nucleotide long non-coding RNA is filed under the name Populus trichocarpa (black cottonwood). Its description in RNAcentral is "long non-coding RNA (PTRI_LNC004794)". Lineage: Eukaryota; Viridiplantae; Streptophyta; Magnoliopsida; Malpighiales; Salicaceae. The record is from RNAcentral.